AGCGAACGCUGGCGGCAGGCCUAACACAUGCAAGUCGAACGAACUCUUCGGAGUUAGUGGCGGACGGGUGAGUGACACGUGGGAACGUGCCUUUUGGUUCGGAAUAACUCAGGGAAACUUGUGCUAAUACCGAAUGUGCCCUUCGGGGGAAAGAUUUAUCGCCAUUAGAGCGGCCCGCGUCUGAUUAGCUAGUUGGUGAGGUAACGGCUCACCAAGGCGACGAUCAGUAGCUGGUCUGAGAGGAUGACCAGCCACACUGGGACUGAGACACGGCCCAGACUCCUACGGGAGGCAGCAGUGGGGAAUCUUGCGCAAUGGGCGAAAGCCUGACGCAGCCAUGCCGCGUGAAUGAUGAAGGUCUUAGGAUUGUAAAAUUCUUUCACCGGGGACGAUAAUGACGGUACCCAGAGAAGAAGCCCCGGCUAACUUCGUG
RNAcentral lists this ribosomal RNA (433 nucleotides) under uncultured bacterium. RNAcentral describes it as "partial 16S ribosomal RNA". It matches the Rfam family "Bacterial small subunit ribosomal RNA", at positions 29 to 507 of the family's 1533-position model. The record is from RNAcentral.